This 118-nucleotide small nuclear RNA is filed under the name Zea mays. Its description in RNAcentral is "U5 spliceosomal RNA". It matches the Rfam family "U5 spliceosomal RNA". From Rfam's summary of the family: U5 RNA is a component of both types of known spliceosome. The precise function of this molecule is unknown, though it is known that the 5' loop is required for splice site selection and p220 binding, and that both the 3' stem-loop and the Sm site are important for Sm protein binding and cap methylation. Lineage: Eukaryota; Viridiplantae; Streptophyta; Magnoliopsida; Poales; Poaceae. The record is from Rfam by way of RNAcentral.
AGCUGCGUGGUGAGCACAAAGCGAACUAUUCUUUCGCCUUUUACUAAAGAAUAUCGUGUGCAUGCACAAUAAGCAGCAUACUCUAAUUUUUGGAGGGUGUUUUCUCCUUAGGGGAAAU